CAGUGAGUCAUUCGAAUUUUUGAACGCACAUUGCGCCCCUUGGUAUUCCGAGGGGCAUACCUGUUCGAGCGUCAUUAACAACCCCUCAAGCCUAGCUUGGUCUUGGAGUCGCUAUUUUAGCGGCCCCUAAAUUCAGUGGCGGUGCCUGUAGGUUCCACGCGAAGUAAUUAUUCUCGCGAUGGAUCCCCUAUAAGUCUCUAGCCAACAACCCCAAUUUUUUUUUCAGGUUGACCUCGGAUCAGGUAGGGAUACCCGCUGAACUUAAGCAUAUCAAUAAGCGAGAGGA
This 286-nucleotide unclassified non-coding RNA is filed under the name uncultured fungus. Its description in RNAcentral is "partial contains 5.8S rRNA, ITS2, and 26S rRNA". The stretch from base 1 to 74 matches the Rfam family "5.8S ribosomal RNA", at positions 82 to 154 of the family's 154-position model. Lineage: Eukaryota; Fungi. The record is from RNAcentral.